GUAUGCAAUGUUGAGAUUGUAUGAUACAGUAUGUAAUAGUUGGUACUUGGUAGUAUAAUUUCUCUAUUAUUUCAUUUGUCUAUUGUAGGCUCAAGCUGAGAGACUUCUCAUUGAAGGACAAAGUGCUAUUGAAUUGGCUAAGUUAAAGGCAGAAGCAACAAGAAUUGAAAUGGAGGCCGAACUUACUUGUCAAACUAAAAUGCAAGAGGCUGAGGUUCAGUUGUU
Amphimedon queenslandica is the source of this 225-nucleotide long non-coding RNA. RefSeq lists it as uncharacterized. The transcript is spliced from 3 exons. The record is from RefSeq and is a predicted model, not a curated record. NCBI's taxonomy places the organism in Eukaryota, Metazoa, Porifera, Demospongiae, Haplosclerida, Niphatidae.